AGAGUUUGAUCCUGGCUCAGGAUGAACGCUAGCGGCAGGCCUAAUACAUGCAAGUCGAACGGUGAUAGCAAUAUCAUAGUGGCGCACGGGUGCGUAACACGUAUGGAACCUACCUUAUAGACGGGGAUAGCCUUUGGAAACGGAGAUUAAUACCCGAUGGUAUAUGUUGAUGGCAUCGUUAACAUAUUAAAGAUUUAUCGCUAUAAGUUGGUCAUGCGUCCAAUUAGUUAGUUGGCGGGGUAAUGGCUCACCAAGACGAUGAUUGGUAGGGGAACUGAGAGGUUAAUCCCCCACACUGGCACUGAGAUACGGGCCAGACUCCUACGGGAGGCAGCAGUAGGGAAUAUUGGGCAAUGGAGGCAACUCUGACCCAGCCAUGCCGCGUGCAGGAUGAAGGCGUUAUGCGUUGUAAACUGCUUUUAUAUAGGAAGAAAUAGACCUUGCGAGGUAAGUUGACGGUACUAUAUGAAUAAGCACCGGCUAACUCCGUGCCAGCAGCCGCGGUAAUACGGAGGGUGCAAGCGUUGUCCGGAUUUAUUGGGUUUAAAGGGUGCGUAGGCGGUUUAUUAAGUCAGUGGUGAAAGACGGUCGCUCAACGAUUGCAGUGCCAUUGAUACUGGUAGACUUGAGUGAGAUUGAGGUAGCUGGAAUGGAUAGUGUAGCGGUGAAAUGCAUAGAUAUUAUCCAGAACACCAAUUGCGUAGGCAAGUUACUAAGUCUCAACUGACGCUGAGGCACGAAAGUGUGGGUAUCAAACAGGAUUAGAUACCCUGGUAGAA
RNAcentral lists this ribosomal RNA (779 nucleotides) under uncultured Arcicella sp. RNAcentral describes it as "bacterial SSU rRNA". It matches the Rfam family "Bacterial small subunit ribosomal RNA", at positions 8 to 795 of the family's 1533-position model. Lineage: Bacteria; Pseudomonadati; Bacteroidota; Cytophagia; Cytophagales; Flectobacillaceae. The record is from RNAcentral.